AUAAUCUAAACUAAUUCUGAUUUAAAUGUAGAAACAUAUCAAGAUGUCAGAUGAGUUGAUCCAGGAAAAUAUCAUCACAGAAUUGAUUUCUGGAAUAUUAAUAUCGAUAUUAAUAUUAAUGUCUUAACAUUUCGUCUUUUUAUUAACUCUCUACUUCAACUGGUUUUCAGCACUAUUUGUUGGGUAAUUUGAAUUCAGUACAAAAUCAUGAGUUAUCCUGUGAUGAUUAGCUAUUUUAAGACGAAAUGGAAGUUCGUUUCAGGUUAAAAGCCUACUAAACUAAUGCUAAGUAACCUAACUAAGAAAGUGCGUCUUAAAUUAGAUAACAACCCCUUCGCCCUGGCGUUGAGAAAAAUUGUAACCUUUAACCGCCAUUUACUGUUUACUCUUUGUUUUUACCUGCACAAAACGAUUAACAAUGUUAAUUAAUCAGAGUUGAAACCAAUUAAUGUUAACAGGCUUUUGAGAUGUUUAUUAGUCUCAUUUAUUGGUGCCAAGGAAAUUGAAGAUGAAUGAAUCAAAUCAAUAUGGGUGGACAUUAUAAUGGAUAGGAAGAAGGACAGUGUAUCACCGGAGGCUCAAUUUUGCGAAUUAUGGUUUGUGUAAGAGGAUGGAUGGUCCAAUAAAGGAGGAGGACGGGGAGGUGGAGGAAGAUGGAAGACGAGGAUGACCAAACAAGAAGAUGAAAGAGCAAGAAAUUGACACAGUAUCUUAAUGGUUUCUCCUUUUUCUUCAUCAGAAAAGCUAAUGAUUAAUAAGUUUUCAUGAUCAAUACUUUGGAAGCAGGAAAAAAGAUCUGUAUACAUUUCAAAGGAAUCUAUCUUUUAUCUUCAUGGAUGGUGUCAAGAAUGAAAAAGAUAAGGAAAAGGGCGCAAAGCAGAGGAAAGGAUAGAGAGGAAAAGUUCAUUUGAGGAAUGAAUUUAAUCGAUAUAUCGAUGGAGAUGAUGACGAAAAAAGAAGGAAAAGAGAAAUGAGAUUAAUCUAGUUUGAUUUUCCUUAUAAUCAGUAUCAUCUUAAAGAUCUUUGGAUAUAAAUGUUAACCAUGGUUAUAUUUCCUUCUAUUCAGACUGAAUAUAUUUUCAACAUUUGUCUGACGUCCAAUCAUCAACACCAUCUUUUUCAUCAUCCGAUUUCUGAACACAUCAUUACAUUAUCAACUUCAUUGGUCACUUUAUUGCUUUUUGCUCCAGUAAUGUCAAUAGGAUUUUUUUGUCCUUUCUGAUUCUCUUUUUUGCUGAAUCAGGUGAAUCAAUGGACUACAACAAUUUAGCCGAUGGCAAUUAAAGGCAGUUAAAAAGAUUGAGUUAGAUGUAUUAAUAAUAGUCUGGAGGACACAAGAAGAUGUGAGAAUAGAAUAAGAUUAGAAUGAUUAGAUUUUAUUUGAUUCCUUGCUGUGGCAAGUUGCUCAAUAAAUAUAGAUAUAAAAAUAAGAUGAAUGCUUGUUGAUUGUGCAUGUUGACAAUGAAAGGAAUGAGGAUAAAUGAUUUUCUUCUUGAGCUUUCUCCUUCCAAUCUAUUAAAAUACAAGCAAUAUCAACAAGGAA
This is a long non-coding RNA of Tetranychus urticae (two-spotted spider mite), 1543 nucleotides long. RefSeq lists it as uncharacterized. The record is from RefSeq and is a predicted model, not a curated record. Lineage: Eukaryota; Metazoa; Arthropoda; Arachnida; Trombidiformes; Tetranychidae.